This 253-nucleotide ribosomal RNA is filed under the name uncultured bacterium. RNAcentral describes it as "partial 16S ribosomal RNA". It matches the Rfam family "Bacterial small subunit ribosomal RNA", at positions 524 to 776 of the family's 1533-position model. The record is from RNAcentral.
UACGUAGGGGGCAAGCGUUGUCCGGAAUCAUUGGGCGUAAAGCGCGUGUAGGCGGUUCGAUAAGUCUGCUGUGAAAGUCCAGGGCUCAACCCUGGGAUGCCGGUGGAUACUGUCGGACUAGAGUACGGAAGAGGCGAGUGGAAUUCCCGGUGUAGCGGUGAAAUGCGCAGAUAUCGGGAGGAACACCAAUGGCGAGGGCAGCUCGCUGGGACGGUACUGACGCUGAGACGCGAAAGCGUGGGGAGCAAACAGG